This 958-nucleotide long non-coding RNA is filed under the name Oryzias sinensis (Chinese medaka). RNAcentral describes it as "lncRNA (ENSOSIG00000023007.1)". The record is from RNAcentral. Lineage: Eukaryota; Metazoa; Chordata; Actinopteri; Beloniformes; Adrianichthyidae.
CAGAGCUGUGAACAAAAGAGGCACUGAGGUAUAAUUAUGUGAGACAAUGUAAAUACGAUUACUGUACUAUGGAUUUGACAAUCAAGAGGGUGGUGGUAAAGAAAUGUAUUGGUGGGAAAAACAAGGAUAUGAACGUGGAUUGUAAAGACCAAAACUAGUCCAUGUCAUGGUAACUUUCUGACAGCGCGAUCGUGUCUUGAAGGUGCCAUAAACGGUGUCAGGCAGCCUGAGCUUGAUCAUCUGCUGGGGUGGUCCUUCUCCAGGCUCAUCCCAGGGUGGGCUAACGUCACACUGCAGGCCCAGUGGGCUUGUCAGUGUCACUUUGUUGCUUCUAUUUUGGUAACAGAGUGAAGAGGCGUAAGUGGCUGAGUGUUUGGGUGGGAGUUAGAAAAAAGAAAGAACCUGUUGCGAGCAAAGAUUACCAUGGUGAUGAUUGGAGGCACCAUUGUGUUCUGUCUUAUCUCAGACUGUCGCGGGUUGUGUUUCCACUCUCUAACUGGAAAAGUGACGGGCAUUCCUCUGCAAUGGUUGGCUGUGGCUCUCCUGGAGGACUCUGCCCUCUCUCUGGUGGUUCUCCAUGGAGUGGCACACGGCUGCCUGCAACUUAGAUUAAGUGUUUGAGCUGUAUUUAAGUGGUUCUGUUUCUGAACUCUGUGUCGGAGUGUAGCUUCUGUUUAGUUCUACUCUAGCUUAUCUUGGUUAUUUUGUAUUCUGGGUUUGAGUUCUGUUAUGUUAUGUUAUGGGUUUUUCCCACCUUUUUUGUUACUAAAUACUUGUAGUUCUCACGCUGGCUUAUCUUCUGGUCCUGGAUCUGAGUCAUCCCGAUACCCCCAUGACAAAAACUGCUUCAAAAAUACAAUCAAUGGACCAUGUUGCUUAAUUCCAGGUACCUAAACUUAGAAAUAAAACACAAAAUUGCCAGUGACUGGGUUAUUCUACAAUGAAUACUUUAAUGUAU